RNAcentral lists this ribosomal RNA (749 nucleotides) under uncultured bacterium. Its description in RNAcentral is "bacterial SSU rRNA". It matches the Rfam family "Bacterial small subunit ribosomal RNA", at positions 28 to 776 of the family's 1533-position model. The record is from RNAcentral.
AUUGAACGCUGGCGGCAGGCUUAACACAUGCAAGUCGAACGAUGAAGAUAUAGCUUGCUAUAUCGGAUUAGUGGCGGACGGGUGAGUAACACUUAGGAAUCUACCUUUUAGCGGGGGAUAGCUCGGGGAAACUCGAAUUAAUACCGCAUAAUUUCUACGGAAUAAAGAGGGCUUUUAGCUCUCACUAGAAGAUGAGCCUAAGUAAGAUUAGCUAGUUGGUGGGGUAAAAGCCUACCAAGGCGACGAUCUUUAGCUGGUCUGAGAGGAUGAUCAGCCACACUGGGACUGAGACACGGCCAGACUCCUACGGGAGGCAGCAGUGGGGAAUAUUGGACAAUGGGGGCAACCCUGAUCCAGCCAUGCCGCGUGUGUGAAGAAGGCCUUUUGGUUGUAAAGCACUUUAAGCAGUGAAGAAGACCUAUUGGUUAAUACCCAAUAGCGAUGACAUUAACUGCAGAAUAAGCACCGGCUAACUCUGUGCCAGCAGCCGCGGUAAUACAGAGGGUGCAAGCGUUAAUCGGAAUUACUGGGCGUAAAGCGAGCGUAGGUGGUUAAAUAAGUCAGAUGUGAAAGCCCUGGGCUCAACCUAGGAACGGCAUCUGAAACUAUUUAACUAGAGUAGGUGAGAGGGAAGUAGAAUUUCAGGUGUAGCGGUGAAAUGCGUAGAGAUCUGAAGGAAUACCGAUGGCGAAGGCAGCUUCCUGGCAUUAUACUGACACUGAGGCUCGAAAGCGUGGGUAGCAAACAGG